This 708-nucleotide ribosomal RNA is filed under the name bacterium 134_xplvp393. Its description in RNAcentral is "bacterial SSU rRNA". It matches the Rfam family "Bacterial small subunit ribosomal RNA", at positions 82 to 803 of the family's 1533-position model. The record is from RNAcentral.
UCGGGGUACACGAGUGGCGAACGGGUGAGUANACACGUGGGUGAUCUGCCCUGCACUUCGGGAUAAGCCCGGGAAACUGGGUCUAAUACCGGAUAGUACUGCGCGGUGCAUGCCGUGUGGUGGAAAGAUUUAUCGGUGCAGGAUGGGCCCGCGGCCUAUCAGCUUGUUGGUGGGGUAAUGGCCUACCAAGGCGACGACGGGUAGCCGGCCUGAGAGGGCGACCGGCCACACUGGGACUGAGACACGGCCCAGACUCCUACGGGAGGCAGCAGUGGGGAAUAUUGCACAAUGGGCGCAAGCCUGAUGCAGCGACGCCGCGUGAGGGAUGACGGCCUUCGGGUUGUAAACCUCUUUCAGCAGGGACGAAGCGCAAGUGACGGUACCUGCAGAAGAAGCACCGGCCAACUACGUGCCAGCAGCCGCGGUAAUACGUAGGGUGCAAGCGUUGUCCGGAAUUACUGGGCGUAAAGAGCUCGUAGGCGGUUUGUCGCGUCGUCUGUGAAAACCAGCAGCUCAACUGUUGGCUUGCAGGCGAUACGGGCAGACUUGAGUAUUUCAGGGGAGACUGGAAUUCCUGGUGUAGCGGUGAAAUGCGCAGAUAUCAGGAGGAACACCGGUGGCGAAGGCGGGUCUCUGGGAAAUAACUGACGCUGAGGAGCGAAAGCGUGGGUAGCGAACAGGAUUAGAUACCCUGGUAGUCCACGCCGU